UCAGCUCUCAACUCGUUCGGGGGAGAAGAAAAAUGUCCCGAACGCCUCUCCACUCACUCUUCACGUUUCCCUUAUCCAUCCCUACGGCCCCAACUCCCUCGUCACCGGUCGGACGACGAACCAAGCAGCAGCCCGCGAUCCCGAGCAGGGACGCCCAACACCCACCUCCUUCGACGUGCGCCGUCUUCUCCGGCCGCCGCCGGGGAUUUGCAGCCACCGGACGGUGAGGUUCUCUCACCCGCGACUGGCCUUGGGCGCCUUCAUGCCCGCUCCUCUUCAGCUCUGUGGAUCUGCAUCGCGCGCCGACGCCGAUGGCCCUGGAGCCGCCGCGAUUCUGGUCGGCGCCACAAGGUGGAGGUGCAUUCCUGGUGGUGGCCGAGCGCCGCACCGCCGCCUGCCCCGCCGCGGCGGACGACGAGGCCACCUCCUCUCGUCGAGGUCUUCACGCGACGGUAACCGUCAUGCCUCCACCGCGCUCUGGGUCAGCAUCCUUCUGCAAGCUCCUCGCCGACCUGCUCGAGAUGCCGCCGUGGGAAGAGAGCUGAGCGCCGCCUGCUCUCCUACGCUGACGCGGCUGGCGUCGGGGCUGCCUAUCUGUGCGUGAUCCUCGCGCGCUGCAGCGAGCACCAGGCCGCCGCGCUCCCGGUGAAUGCAGCUACCUAUGGACCGAAGGUAAAUUGCCAUCGUUUCCCCUCUGCCACCACCCGCCAUGCCCCACAGCGUUGGAGGAGGUCGAGGGAGUUCGAGCUCGACCAUCACGGCACACAUGCACAUGGCCCCUGCUGGCAUUGACUCCCUUCCCUGCAGAAACAAAGCAUACAAGAGAAUUACUCUUUCAGCAAGUGAAGAGCUACUUUUAUUUGUGAUGAUGCAAAAAGGAGUCCACAUCCCUACUAUCUUGUAGCCUACAGCAGCACAACUUGACUCACUGAUGAAGAUAAUACCAGUGUUUUUGGAGUUA
Long non-coding RNA from Triticum dicoccoides, 961 nucleotides. RefSeq lists it as uncharacterized. The transcript has 2 exons. Lineage: Eukaryota; Viridiplantae; Streptophyta; Magnoliopsida; Poales; Poaceae. The record is from RefSeq and is a predicted model, not a curated record.